Molecule: non-coding RNA, 48 nt
Filed under: Schistosoma haematobium
Lineage: Eukaryota; Metazoa; Platyhelminthes; Trematoda; Strigeidida; Schistosomatidae
Source: RNAcentral
AUUCAGUUGACGAAUCCCAAAUAGGACAAAACCCUCGUCAAACUGGAU